AGCUUUUUGAAUAUAUAAAGGGUGUUGUCUGCUCAAUGAGCAUUAAAUAGCCAUGGUAUUUAUGACUAUGCAAAGGUAGCAUAAUCAUUUGUCUUGUAAAUUAAGACUUGUAUGAAUGGAUAAAUGGGGUAAUUCUUUCUUAAGCUAAGUAUUAAAAAUAAUUUUUUUAGUGAAGAAACUAAAAUGAUAGUGAGGGACGAGAAGACCCUAUUAAGCUUUAUAUAAUUAUUUUGUUGGGGAAACAAAAGAAGAAAAUUUCUUUUUAAAAAGUUUUUGAUAAAUUUUGAUUUAUUAUUAAUGAUGAUAGAAUAAGUUACUAUAGGGAUAACAGCAUAAUUUUUUUAACAAGUUCUUAUUAAUAAAGAAGAGUUAUGACCUCGAUGUUGGAUUAAAAAUAUUAUAUGGUGUAGCGGUUGUAUAAAUUAGUC
This 428-nucleotide ribosomal RNA is filed under the name Macroperipatus torquatus. Its description in RNAcentral is "partial 16S ribosomal RNA". The record is from RNAcentral. Lineage: Eukaryota; Metazoa; Onychophora; Udeonychophora; Euonychophora; Peripatidae.